CCUACGGGGGGCAGCAGUGAGGAAUAUUGGUCAAUGGACGGAAGGCUGAACCAGCCAAGCCGCGUGAAGGACGAAGGUGCCAAGCAUUGUAAACUGCUUUUGUAAAGGGACAAAAACAGGUACGAGAGCCUGACUGAAGGUACUGGAAGAAAAAGCAUCGGCUAACUCCGUGCCAGCAGCCGCGGUAAUACGGAGGAUGCGAGCGUUAUCCGGAUUUAUUGGGUUUAAAGGGUGCGUAGGCGGCCUUGUAAGUCAGAGGUGAAAGUCCGUGGCUCAACCGUGGAAUUGCCGUUGAAACUGGCAGGCUUGAGUGUGUUUGCGGCAGGCGGAAUGUGUGGUGUAGCGGUGAAAUGCUUAGAUAUCACGCAGAACCCCGAUUGCGAAGGCAGCCUGCCAAGCCAUUACUGACGCUGAUGCACGAAAGCGUGGGGAUCAAACAGGAUUAGAUACCCCUGUAGUC
Molecule: ribosomal RNA, 460 nt
Filed under: uncultured bacterium
Lineage: Bacteria
Description: partial 16S ribosomal RNA
Rfam family: Bacterial small subunit ribosomal RNA
Source: RNAcentral